CCUACGGGAGACUGCAGUGGGGGAUAUUGCACAAUGGGGGAAACCCUGAUGCAGCGACGCCGCGUGUAGGAAGACGGUCCUCUGGAUUGUAAACUACUGUCCCCAGGGACGAAGAUGACGGUACCUGGGGAGGAAGCUCCGGCUAACUCCGUGCCAGCAGCCGCUGUAAUACGUAGGGAGCGAGCGUUGUCCGGAAUUACUGGGUGUAAAGGGAGCGUAGGCGGGGAUGCAAGUUGGGUGUUAAAUCUACCGGCUCAACUGGUAGUCGCACUCAAAACUGCAGCUCUUGAGUGAAGUAGAGGCAGGCUGAAUUCCUAGUGUAGCGGUGAAAUGCGUAGAUAUUAGGAGGAACACCAGUGGCGAAGGCGGCCUGCUGGGCUUUUACUGACGCUGAGGCUCGAAAGUGUGGGGAGCAAACAGGAUUAGAUACCCGAGUAGUC
This 440-nucleotide ribosomal RNA is filed under the name uncultured bacterium. RNAcentral's name for it is "partial 16S ribosomal RNA". It matches the Rfam family "Bacterial small subunit ribosomal RNA", at positions 338 to 795 of the family's 1533-position model. The record is from RNAcentral.